Molecule: long non-coding RNA, 866 nt
Organism: Lotus japonicus
Lineage: Eukaryota; Viridiplantae; Streptophyta; Magnoliopsida; Fabales; Fabaceae
Exons: 2
Source: RefSeq, a predicted model, not a curated record
GGAAAAGAAAAUAGAAUUCUCCAGAUUGAGAAUUGAAUUGCCACCAAGUUGUAACGUUCGUGUGAGAAGAAUUGAAUUCCUUUUGGGAAAAGAAGAAUUUGACUAGCCAUGUGACAGAACCGUUAGAAUAGUACCGUUAUUGGAAUUGGAAUUCUCUAUAAAAGGAAAUAGAGAGUAGAGACUAUGUAGCAGAGUAUGCAAGAGAGAGCCACGAACAGGCAGUGCAUAUACGAGAGAGAUAAAGCCUCGUGUGAAAAAAAGAAAGAAUUGGGACUGUUGCAGCCGUGUGACAAAGAGGAAAAGACUCGUUAUUGAUAGAAGAGUGGUACUGUUAAAGUGCUUUUAUUUGGCUGAAAUUACAAUGUGUGAAUCAUAUCAGUGAGCUGAGGAAGCAUGCCUAGCAGUGAAAAAUAUACAAAGUGGUGCAUGAAACAUUACGGAUAGAAAACCCACAUCAGAAGAUUAUGAUCAAUCUUUCUUUUUGUAAUAAAGAAGAAAGAAGGCACAUAGUGAGAAGGUAUCAAAACUCACACACCCCAGGCCCAAAGCUCGAUGAGGACAACAAGGAGUCUAGGGUGAUCAAUACUUGACUAGGGCGAGAAGAACAUGACUAUUAGGGGGAAAUUGGGACUUGUGUACAAGGGCUGGAGAAGAAUAGGCCAAAAGAGCUUGAAAGGUAUCCAAAAUCAGUGUUCGAUCACGUUUUCUUCUUCAGUAGCAGCAGACUUUUGUUUUGAUGGCUGGCAGGUUCCUAGUUUUGUUAGUUUUAAUGUUUGGAUGGGUGUCUUUGUUUGCUUGUUUCUUAAUUAGUAGGUUUAUGUAAAGAUCUAGAGCUCUUUCUAGAUUAAAAAAGAAUUAUUCAUCAA